GCCACGCCCGCUCAGAAACUACAAAGGAAGUUGACGGGGCCCGGCACAAGCGGUGGAGUAUGUGGUUAAUUCGAUGCAACGCGAAGAACCUUACCUGGUCUUGACAUCCCGGAGACCCUUAGGAAACUAGGGGUGCUUCCAUCUGGAAGAAUCUGGAGACAGGUGCUGCAUGGCUGUCGUCAGCUCGUGUCGUGAGAUGUUGGGUUAAGUCCCGCAACGAGCGCAACCCUUGCCUUUAGUUGCCAGCAGUUCGGCUGGGCACUCUAAAGGGACUGCCGGUGUUAAACCGGAGGAAGGUGGGGAUGACGUCAAGUCCUCAUGGCCUUUAUGACCAGGGCUACACACGUACUACAAUGGCCGAUACAAAGGGCAGCGACACUGCGAGGUGAAGCCAAUCCCGUAAAAUCGGUCUCAGUCCGGAUUGGAGUCUGCAACUCGACUCCAUGAAGUUGGAAUCGCUAGUAAUCGUGGAUCAGCAUGCCACGGUGAAUACGUUCCCGGGCCUU
RNAcentral lists this ribosomal RNA (506 nucleotides) under uncultured Desulfobulbus sp. RNAcentral's name for it is "bacterial SSU rRNA". It matches the Rfam family "Bacterial small subunit ribosomal RNA", at positions 903 to 1382 of the family's 1533-position model. The record is from RNAcentral. Lineage: Bacteria; Pseudomonadati; Thermodesulfobacteriota; Desulfobulbia; Desulfobulbales; Desulfobulbaceae.